Alligator mississippiensis (American alligator) is the source of this 2564-nucleotide long non-coding RNA. RefSeq lists it as uncharacterized. The record is from RefSeq and is a predicted model, not a curated record. The transcript is spliced from 3 exons. NCBI's taxonomy places the organism in Eukaryota, Metazoa, Chordata, Crocodylia, Alligatoridae.
CUCCACCCAAAAAAAGCAGCGAGCCUGAUCCUUCCCCCUCCCUUCUCCUGGAGCCUGCCUGCCUGCCUGAGCUGUGCAGGGGCCUGGUGCUUCCCUCCGCGGCUGCAGUGCCCCCUGGGACCACCCGAGCCGGAGUGCCUGCAGGAGGGUGCUGCCUGGGGAGUGGGGGGCUGCCACUGCCGUGGAGGGAAGUACCAACCUCCCCCUCCCCAGCCCAGGGACCACUCUGCCUGCCAGCCAUUCGCCCUUCCCUCCCCGCCACCAGAGAGGCAGACACAGAUCAUGUGGCCAGAGUGGAGAGACUUCAAAUCUGCAGCACUGAAUCUAGCUCCGCCAAGUCAAAUUAUUUCUGGAAAAUAGUUUGUAGGUCCAGGGGAUGUCCUUUCCAGGGCCACCAGAUGUGACACGCCUCCUCUCCAGACCUGUAGGAUCAACCCCUACAAUCACAUGGCCAUUGUCAUGCCAGCAGGAAGUGAUGUGAGCUCCUUUUAUUUUCCAUCAGUGUCAGGUUACAUGCAGAGAGUGAGCAGGAGGCUUUCUCUGGAAGAUAUCUGUAAAACCUCACAAACUCCUCUUAAAAAACGUCCACAUUUUUGAAUGACUGGCCUGACAUGAACUACAUUUUUUUAAUUAAUACUUAAACAACUGAUAAUUUUCUAAGGGAAUCUCUUUAACUAGAUGCUUUUUCCUACGUGUGGGUUUUUUGUUUGUUUGCCGUUUGCUUUUUUGCUGGGCGGUGGGAGGGGGGAGAGGUUUGUGUAUGCAUGCAUCCAUGCACACAUACACACAUGUUUCCUGGCCUACAAGUUAAUUUCCCUUCAUUCUGCAAAAAGAGCAGUGUAGGCUUGUAUAGGCCUUGGGUCAGAUCCCUUUCAGCUGUCUAGCACUGUUGAAGACUGCCUUCUACCAACUGAGAUUCUGAUUCACUAUUAAGCAAAUGUAAGUAGUGAAUUAAUUCCUGGAAUUAAUUUAAAAGGUCUCUAGCACAGUAUACUUUCUAUAAAUGUGCUGUGCAGAGUGAAGAGAACUUGUUUUAAUGUGCAAUGUAGCCAAAUUCCCAUUCAGCAUUUUUCCCCCCUCUGGGGUGUGAAUAGCUGUUUGGAAGCAGACAGAAAUGCAGAGAGGUGAAGAGAGAGAUUAUGCAGCUGUUACACUGCUACUCUGUCUAGGUAAGGAACAGCAUAACAGUUCAGGGUUCCUGCUCCUGCCUUUGUAAGAAAGGACCCAGGAAAAUCAAUAUUUCACUUUUUCUGUAAACCUCAAAGGCAGUUCUCAGGAAUUUACUAAGAAUGUACUAGGGAUUAGUAGGCUGGCUGUGUUCCUGUAGUUUGGAGUCUGAUUAACAUGGGUCUGGUGAUUACUUGGACUGAAACUGAGGAAAUCGGAGGUGACAUGGUGCUUCAUUGAAGCCAAUCCCAUAAUUGUCACUCAUGUUGCAGUGCUUGAAACUGGCUCAGGACCUCUCAGGAGCUCCCUCAGAAAGUCUGUGAUCAAGAAAAAAAUGCAAAGUUGUAUGUCUAAUCACCUGCACAGCAGUGUUAGAUAUUUCCCUACUAGGUACAGCUCCAUAUGAUAUGACUGUAAACUGCAUCUGACUGGAGGGCCUGGUGGCAAUGUGGUGGAGCUACUUGUGGCAGGGUAGGUCCUACAAAAAACCACAUGGUUGCAAGCUCCAGAGUCAGGAGAAUAUAAGGCACUUUGAAACCCUAGCCCCCACUGCCUUGUGGGUACUUCUUGGUUGUAGAAAGGCUAAAGGACAUCACCCUGACAGAAACACGCCCUCACUGAGGCAUCAGAAACAUUUUUAUAUGUUGUUCUCUGGCAGAAGUUACAACCAUCGAGGCACUGAAUGUCUGGACUCAGUCUGAUCUUUGGAUUCUGUCUCAAUGUUUCUAAAAGCUGUGGCAGGAGAGCUCUGAGUGAGGUCAGGGACAUGCAUCUACCCUUCCACAAAGCAGAUUCAUCAGGCACCUGACUAGACCUCUUAUUUGUACACCAUGAUCUGGAGGACCAACGGUUGCCUACUGCUCCACAAGCACAGUUCGCUUGAGGGUUUGCCAUAAACCCUGCAUAACUGCUGUGGCCCAGGAUCCCUAGUAUGACUGAAUCUCAGUUUGAUCCCUGUCUUCCCUCCUGCUGCAGGGAAGAAACAACCUAUACCAAUCUUAUGUACCUGAUAUGGGUCAGUUAUGCCAAGGCUCCACUAACUCACUGUCCUAGUUUGUAUAUCUGUGUGGGAGAGAAGACCACUGGUCAAGUUCAGGAUAUCCAUAGGGAUGGGCAUCAUAUGGGAGAAUCUUCAUGUGCUUUAAGACAAGAUACAACAAGAACCGAUCUGAUUUAGAUGUCCAGAUGCUGCUGCUGUUGUUUGCAUAAACAAAUGCAGGCAACCACCUGUAAGUUAUAAAGUGGCCACCUUUACUAAAACUUUGGCCCAAAAGAUAAGAUGUCAUCUGUGUCAAGUAAUGUGCGAUAAAAUAGUCCAUAAAGAUAUGUAUGUGAUGUCUGAGUUUUAAUCUUAUAACUGGUUGUAAUUUAUGAAGUCAAAAAAAUUUCCCGCUGAA